AGACAGUGACCUCCUCACAGGUCCGGGAGCACCAGACUGCAAACAGCAGCCUCUGAGAGCUCAGCCCCUCUCCUCUCCAAUUCUUGAUGGGAGGCCUCGCUCGGGGCCCUGUUCUAUUAGCUAAAAUCCAUGUCUGUGCCACCGUGGCGAGCCAUCUCUUAGUGGCUAGCAGCAGGACUCAUUGGCUUCCAAGUUUGCUCAGGGCCUGAGGCACAAUGGAGAAAGGAAAGGGAGUGUCCAGAAAAGGACGGAAGCUGGCAUCCAGCCGGCGGAGGCAGGCGCGAGAGCCAGCUGAUGGUCAGGAUGCCCCUGUGGCCCCGGAGGCUGAGUCCUGGCCCUCUGAUGCUGAUGCAGAGCUUCAGGGCUUCUU
RNAcentral lists this long non-coding RNA (370 nucleotides) under Mus pahari (shrew mouse). RNAcentral's name for it is "lncRNA (MGP_PahariEiJ_G0005230.1)". Lineage: Eukaryota; Metazoa; Chordata; Mammalia; Rodentia; Muridae. The record is from RNAcentral.